This 440-nucleotide ribosomal RNA is filed under the name uncultured bacterium. Its description in RNAcentral is "bacterial SSU rRNA". It matches the Rfam family "Bacterial small subunit ribosomal RNA", at positions 338 to 795 of the family's 1533-position model. The record is from RNAcentral.
CCUACGGGUUGCAGCAGUGGGGAAUUUUCCGCAAUGGGCGAAAGCCUGAUCCAGCAAUGCCGCGUGUGUGAAGAAGGUCUUCGGAUUGUAAAGCACUUUCGACGGGGACGAUGAUGACGGUACCCGUAGAAGGAGCCCCGGCUAACUUCGUGCCAGCAGCCGCGGUAACACGAAGGGGGCUAGCGUUGCUCGGAAUGACUGGGCGUAAAGGGCGCGUAGGCGGUUUAUGCAGUCAGAUGUGAAAUCCCCGGGCUCAACCUGGGAACUGCAUUUGAGACGCAUAGACUAGAGGUCGAGAGAGGGUUGUGGAAUUCCCAGUGUAGAGGUGAAAUUCGUAGAUAUUCGGAGGAACACCAGUGGCGAAGGCGGCUUACUGGUCUGCAACUGACGCUGAGGCGCGAAAGCGUGGGGAGCAAACAGGAUUAGAUACCCCUGUAGUC